AUUGAACGCUGGCGGCAUGCCUUACACAUGCAAGUCGAACGGCAGCGGGGGAGAAGCUUGCUUUGCCUGCCGGCGAGUGGCGAACGGGUGAGUAAUACAUCGGAACGUGCCCUGUAGUGGGGGAUAACUAGUCGAAAGAUUAGCUAAUACCGCAUACGACCUGAGGGUGAAAGUGGGGGACCGCAAGGCCUCAUGCUAUAGGAGCGGCCGAUGUCUGAUUAGCUAGUUGGUGGGGUAAAGGCCUACCAAGGCGACGAUCAGUAGCUGGUCUGAGAGGACGAUCAGCCACACUGGGACUGAGACACGGCCCAGACUCCUACGGGAGGCAGCAGUGGGGAAUUUUGGACAAUGGGCGAAAGCCUGAUUCAACAAUGCCGCGUGUGUGAAGAAGGCCUUCGGGUUGUAAAGCACUUUUGUCCGGAAAGAAAUGGCUCUGGUUAAUACCUGGGGUCGAUGACGGUACCGGAAGAAUAAGGACCGGCUAACUACGUGCCAGCAGCCGCAGUAA
RNAcentral lists this ribosomal RNA (508 nucleotides) under uncultured bacterium. RNAcentral's name for it is "partial 16S ribosomal RNA". It matches the Rfam family "Bacterial small subunit ribosomal RNA", at positions 30 to 523 of the family's 1533-position model. The record is from RNAcentral.